AAGUUUUAUUGUUGUUGGUGUGACAUUGCGGCUCCAAAUGCGCACAGGAAAAAACGCCAGCAAGGCAAAAGUCUCCGCUCCCGAGGAGCUUACAGUGCAAAUGCGACUUUGGAGAGAUGGAGUACUCUCGAAACAGGACAUUUUGGCACAAGUCGACUUACAGGCAGCAUUAACAAAUGUAGGAGUGAGAAGAGAGGACUCCCCAAACUAUUGUUAACCCACAGCAUUCAAGUAUUAUUUUAACACAUUUCUAUACCAACCAUCAAUUCAAAAUUGCAAUUAGUCAAGGUCCAGACUGAAUUUGAUAAGCUCAGUUUUUACCUGCAAUCCAGGGACAGGAGAAGCACUAAUGCUUUUUAA
Podarcis muralis (Common wall lizard) is the source of this 360-nucleotide non-coding RNA. The record is from RefSeq and is a predicted model, not a curated record. NCBI's taxonomy places the organism in Eukaryota, Metazoa, Chordata, Lepidosauria, Squamata, Lacertidae.